This 603-nucleotide ribosomal RNA is filed under the name Triticum aestivum (bread wheat). RNAcentral's name for it is "partial small subunit ribosomal RNA". Lineage: Eukaryota; Viridiplantae; Streptophyta; Magnoliopsida; Poales; Poaceae. The record is from RNAcentral.
AUGGGAGUCUUGCCAUGGAACUGCCGCUGCGGACUCAACCCCACCCCCAGCAAGAACAGGGGUGCGCCCGCGCGUCCUCCUCCUCCUGCUGCCCGAGGCAGGAGAUCCAAAUACACGGGACAAUCUGUGAGAGCAAUGCCUAUGCGCGUGCUGACAGUCGGCAAGAAGAGGUCUCAGGGGACACAACUUCUUGUUGAAGAGUACAAAGAGAAGCUCGGUCACUACUGCGACGUUGAGGACACCCUUAUCAAGUCCAACCCAAAACUUACAAGCGAUGUUAAGGUGCAAAUUGAAGCAGAAGACGCGUCUAUGAUGCAGCAGCUCAAGGCUGAAGAUUUUGUUGUUGUGUUGGAUGAAAACGGGAAGGAUGUCAUAUCUGAGCAGAUAGCUGAUCUCAUUGGGGAUGCUGGCAACACGGGAUCGUCAAGGCUCACAUUUUGUAUUGGCGGGCCAUAUGGUCUUGGAAUACAAGUACGAGAGCGAGCUGAUGCAACAAUUAGGCUAUCCUCACUGGUUUUGAACCACCAAGUCGCUUUAAUAGUUUUAAUGGAGCAGCUCUACAGGGCGUGGACAAUCAUCAAAGGACAGAAGUAUCAUCACUAG